Molecule: ribosomal RNA, 427 nt
Filed under: uncultured bacterium
Lineage: Bacteria
Description: bacterial SSU rRNA
Rfam family: Bacterial small subunit ribosomal RNA
Source: RNAcentral
ACGCUGGCGGCAUGCCUAACACAUGCAAGUCGAACGAUGCCUUCGGGCAUAGUGGCGCACGGGUGCGUAACGCGUGGGAAUCUGCCCUUGGGUUCGGAAUAACUCAGAGAAAUUUGAGCUAAUACCGGAUGAUGACGUAAGUCCAAAGAUUUAUCGCCCAAGGAUGAGCCCGCGUAAGAUUAGCUAGUUGGUGGGGUAAAGGCCUACCAAGGCGACGAUCUUUAGCUGGUCUGAGAGGAUGAUCAGCCACACUGGGACUGAGACACGGCCCAGACUCCUACGGGAGGCAGCAGUGGGGAAUAUUGGACAAUGGGCGAAAGCCUGAUCCAGCAAUGCCGCGUGAGUGAUGAAGGCCUUAGGGUUGUAAAGCUCUUUACCAGGGAUGAUAAUGACAGUACCUGGAGAAUAAGCUCCGGCUAACUCCGUG